UGGGGAAUAUUGGGCAAUGGGGGAAACCCUGACCCAGCAACGCCGCGUGAAGGAAGAAGGCUUUCGGGUUGUAAACUUCUUUACCAGGGACGAAGGACGUGACGGUACCUGGAGAAAAAGCAACGGCUAACUACGUGCC
RNAcentral lists this ribosomal RNA (139 nucleotides) under uncultured bacterium. RNAcentral describes it as "partial 16S ribosomal RNA". It matches the Rfam family "Bacterial small subunit ribosomal RNA", at positions 355 to 509 of the family's 1533-position model. The record is from RNAcentral.